ACUUAAAUAGCUUAUUUAGAGUUUAAUAUUGAAGAUAUUAAGGAAAUAUUUUUAUUUUUAAGUA
This 64-nucleotide transfer RNA is filed under the name Anaspis sp. BMNH 840206. RNAcentral describes it as "tRNA-Phe". RNAcentral also lists the same sequence under 1 other name. The record is from RNAcentral. Lineage: Eukaryota; Metazoa; Arthropoda; Insecta; Coleoptera; Scraptiidae.